Molecule: ribosomal RNA, 1065 nt
Filed under: Gordius sp. NZ2016
Lineage: Eukaryota; Metazoa; Nematomorpha; Gordioida; Gordea; Gordiidae
Description: bacterial SSU rRNA
Rfam family: Eukaryotic small subunit ribosomal RNA (bases 1-311)
Source: RNAcentral
CCUGGUCCGAAAGGAUCCUGGGUAAUCCGUUGAAACUCUUUCGUGAUGGGGAUAGGGAAUUGUAAUUAUUUUCCUUGAACGAGGAAUUCCUAGUAAGCGCGAGUCAUAAGCUCGCGUUGAUUAAGUCCCUGCCCUUUGUACACACCGCCCGUCGCUACUACCGAUUGAAUGAUUUAGUGAGGUCUUUGGACGGGUCUUGAUUCGGGACUAUGUUUCGAGCCAUGCGCCUGAAAAUUGAUCUAGCUCAGUCAUUUCGAGGAAGUAAAAGUCGUAACAAGGUUUCCGUAGGUGAACCUGCGGAAGGAUCAUUACCGUCGAACGACACCACCGAAGCCCCGAUCAUCGGGAAUAAGUGGUCGUCAAAAAUUUCCAGUCCCGAAGCCUCAGAAUGUUUCGGGUUUUAGGCAUUUUCGCCAUCUCAAUGGGAGGUCUCCGAAGAUUAUCACGGUUUAGCGUCAUUUAUGAUGCGAUAUCGGGAUACUCGGAAAGGGCUUAGGCCUUAAACGUUCAUCCGCUGAUAAUGAUGGGCUACCUCUCUAAAUAUUUUUCGAAAAGUUUGUUAUUCAACCAAAAAUUCAGUUAAAACACUUCUCCCUAUUAUAAGGGGGAAAAAAUAAAAUCGUCUUUGAGCGGUGGAUCACUCGGUUCGUGCUUCGAUGAAGAACGCGGCGAAACGCGAGAGUUAGUGUGAAUUGCAGGACACACUGAACAUCGAUACUUCGAAUGCACUUUGCGGCUCGGGGUCGAACUCCGAGCCUCGCUCGUCUGAGGGUCGUCAAACAAAAAGCUUUACGGCGCACGUUAGCGACGUAUUUCGCGGGUACUAGGAUUUCAAAUCCCGGGCUCGUUAGAUGCAGAGUGAUUUCGUCGAAAGUGCCCUUCGUUUUCGAGUCUUCGACGGGUCGAACGGAAGUUAAUGACGCGUCUGACUUAAUUGGAGGAGCCGGCGAGAGCCCACUAUUAUACUAGUAAAAAUUCGUAUUCCGACCUCAGAUCGAACGAGAAUACCCGCUGAAUUUAAGCAUAUUAAUAAGCGGAGGAAAAGAAACUAACGAGGAUUCCUAC